This is a long non-coding RNA of Solanum dulcamara, 1991 nucleotides long. RefSeq lists it as uncharacterized. The transcript has 2 exons. NCBI's taxonomy places the organism in Eukaryota, Viridiplantae, Streptophyta, Magnoliopsida, Solanales, Solanaceae. The record is from RefSeq and is a predicted model, not a curated record.
GUUCAGGACUAAACUGGGGAACUCCUUUCACCAAAGAGUAUAUCACUAAACCAUCAAAAUGCCUUCAUGACACCUCAUAUGAACUUGUGAUGUGUUCUGUCCGUUUUCUUUUGUAGCAGAAUGAUAUUUUCCUGACUAUAAAAUUAGGGAUUUUUUUCACUAUAUACAAUAGCCAAACAAAGCCCCCAACAAUAAAGGGCAAAUUUCAUUAAUAUACAAUAAACAAGUUUGUUUAUCAAAAAUAUAGCCAAGUUUUCAUUUAUCAAAAAAGUAGCCAAAAAUUAGAGAUACUAUAAAGCCCAAAAAUAGCCCAAUUCCCUUAUUCAAAAGGCAAUGGCAUAAUCUGAUUCUCUCUAGCGAGCAAACAAUGGCUUCUCUCAGAUUUCGCCGAGGAUAUCUCAAAUUUGUCGGAAAAGCAUCAAUUUCACCGGUGAUUCAUUGUCAAUUCUUCAAUUUUGUCGGUGAUUUAGUAAUUUCUGUUUUGAUUUUAUCAAUUUCUCUAUUAAUUCUUCAAUUUUGAUGGACUGUUUCACCAUUCUGAUUCAACACAACGAGGAGUGGGACAACAACAACAACAAGCCUAGUAUAGUCCACCAUGUGAGGAGUGGGAGAUUAACAAUAAAUACGUCAAUUAUGUUGUUGAUGCUGUUAUCAAUUCUGAUUGAAAUUUUGAAGAUCUAACUACUGUUGUUUCUACACAAAUUGGUGUAGAUUCCGCUGUAUACUUGAUGGAGAUCAAAUAUGUCCUCACUGAUCAGAUUCCAGCUAUAUUGAUACACAAUAACAUGAGUGUUAGGGUUUAUAUGGAAUUGAAACGAAAAAAUUCAAAUCUAUCUUCAUAUCCACUUUGUGUCAUGCUAAAAGGAAUUUUUAUGGAGCACUUCAACAGUUUGAUUGCAGUUGCUAGUAUACAAAAAAUAUACAAUGCUGAUACAAUUCAAAUGCUUGAGGCUAGAAUGAUAGAUUGUGGUGAAGUAGUGGGAGAGAAGGAAAAUCAUAUUAUUGAUAAUUGCUUUCACAUGGAAGUUGAGAAACGACAGAUCUAUAAGGAUAAGAAGACGAUUGUCAAAGUUUUGAAGAACUAUGCUAUUCGAAAUUAGUUUCGAUUUAGGGUCAAAAGAUCAAGUUCAACAAGGUAUGACCUUCGCUGUAUUGAUGAAAAUUGCAAUUGGUCGUUCAAAUCUUCAAGCAUAAACAAGUUUGAUCUAUUCAAAGUUCGAUGUUUCAAUAAACUUCACUCUUGCAAUGUGCUCGAAUUAUAUAUGACACAAGUCAAGCUAAUUCAAUCAUUAUUGCAAGUUUGGUGAUGGAGAAACUUGAUGAUCCUAAGACUGUCUAUACACCUAAUGAUAUCAUAAACGACAUUCAAAAGGAUUAUUUUGUUGAGCUGACUUAUAUGCAAGCAUAGAGGGCAAGACAACAAGCAAUGGAACUGAUAAGAGGGAACCCUGCUGGAUCGUAUUGUAAGUUGUCGAUAUACUUAUAUAUGAUUGCGCAUACAAAUUUAGGAUCAGUAACAAGGCUGCAUAAAUCAGAGGAUGGACGCUUUCUAUAUUGCACUUGAUGCAUCGAUCAAAGGAUGAGAUUAUUGCAGACCUAUAAUGGUUGUAGAUGGAAGCUUUUUGAAGGCAACAUAUAGAGGGACCAUACUUAUUGCUUCAACACAGGAUGUUGAUGGUAAUGUUGUAUAAGGGUGUAUAAGAAUUGUAUAAUGUUUGUAUAGUCUAGUAUAUGCUGAAUUUUCAGAUUCAAGUUUUUAUAUUAACUGCAUACUUGUUGUAUAAGGGUGUAUAGGAAUUGUAUAAUGUAUGUAUAGUCGAGUAUAUGUGUGUAUAUGCUAAAUUUUCAGAUUCAAAUUUUUAUAUUAACUAUAUACUUUCUGUAUAAGGGUGUAUAUGAGUUGUAUAAUUCUGUAUAGUUGAGUAUAUGUGUGUAUAUGCUGGUUUGAAGAUUUUAGUUGGUAUAUAAGAGUGUAUAUGAAUUGUUUGGUG